GACGAACGCUGGCGGCGUGCUUAACACAUGCAAGUCGAACGGAAAGGCCCUGCUUUUGUGGGGUGCUCGAGUGGCGAACGGGUGAGUAACACGUGAGUAACCUGCCCUUGACUUUGGGAUAACUUCAGGAAACUGGGGCUAAUACCGGAUAUGAGAUCCUGCUGCAUGGUGGGGGAUGGAAAGAUACGGCGGUUGGGGACGGACUCGCGGCUCAUCAGCUUGUUGGCGGGGUAGUGGGUUACAGAGGCUUUGACGGGUAGCCGGCCUGAGAGGGUGACCGGCCACAUUGGGCCUGGGGUGCGGCCCAGACUCCUACGGGAGGCAGCAGUGAGGAAUAUUGCACGAUGGGCGGAAGCCUGAUGCAGCAACGCCGCGUGCGGGAUGACGGCCUUCGGGUUGUAAACCGCUUUCGCCUGUGACGAAGCGUGAGUGACGGUAAUGGGUAAAGAAGCACCGGCUAACUACGUG
Molecule: ribosomal RNA, 468 nt
Filed under: uncultured bacterium
Lineage: Bacteria
Description: partial 16S ribosomal RNA
Rfam family: Bacterial small subunit ribosomal RNA
Source: RNAcentral